RNAcentral lists this long non-coding RNA (572 nucleotides) under Prunus dulcis (almond). RNAcentral's name for it is "sRNA ncRNA". Lineage: Eukaryota; Viridiplantae; Streptophyta; Magnoliopsida; Rosales; Rosaceae. The record is from RNAcentral.
CUCUUUUCUCCCUAGAACUAACAAUAUUGAAAAUGUCCACCGGCCACUUAUUUCUGAAGCCUCCAAUUGGUGAUCAGAAAAGAGUCUCUGAGGAUUCUAAAGCGAGCAUCGACCAACAGAACGGCAACAACUCCAGGUCCCAAUCAAUGAGUUCCAAAAAUAGUGCCACUCCCCUCCAGCCCAAGAAGGAGAGAGGAAAGGAAAAAAAGAAUGGCAGAGGCGGCAAUGAGUUCACAAUUGCUAAGAAUACAAUAAAUGGGAGUAAAUCCGACAGGGUAGGAAUUUUUGGGUUUGGCAACACCCACACGUAUUUAAAAAGCCAUGGCAAAGAAAAACAAGUUCAGUCCAGCAGCGAAGAAGACGAAGAAGCAGUGAACUGAGGUUAAUUAUGUGUAGUCCGUUUUUAAUUUAUGCAAUAUUAAAUUUUUUUGGUAAUUUGGUGAGAUUAUGUUAUGUUAUUAAAUGGACUCUCUUCUAUUUAUUAAAAAUAUAUUAUUAAAAGGCAUUGCUAUUGCCAUUCCGAAUUAGCGAUUGCGUGCCAUCGUGGUUUUGCUUGUAAUUUUCCUCUUUUC